UUUUUUUCUCAUCGUCUUCGUCUGUUUUCUGUUCACUUCCUUCCACAGACGAGAGACCAUGAAAGACGAUGGAGAAGUUUGAAGAUCAAGCCAUUAACUCUAGGAAAACUCUCAAGUAUGAGAACGAACAACACUCGCAGCAGGCUGUCUCUUGGAGUCGCUAUACUUGGACAAUUUUUUAUUUAAGUGGCCCUCCAUGCAUCAGCAUUCAUGCAGUUGCGUUGGAGAGGUACGGAAAUUAGCUGCUGCUGGUAGUCAUUGCACUGCACUGUCUGAUGUAUGUUCCUUGAAAGGUGUGUGAAUUAAUCCUUGCUGACAAUGUGACUUUUUAAAGCAAUGGUAGGAAAUAAAGUCAUAGCCCUAGAAUUACAGAGCAAGCUCGAGUACGAGGGUCGACAGAAACAUCAAAGGAGCACAGUAGAGUACCAUAACUCUGUAGAUGUUCUAGAAUGCAGAAGCAAGCUUGAAUUCAGGAUAAUCUUGAUAUGAAAAAAAUGAAAGGAAAGGAUAAUGUCGCCAUGAAUUGGAACCACAUCAAAAGCUAAUCAGCUACAGCAGUGGCAAAUUCUUGGGAUAACCAAAGAAAGCUGGAUGAAGAAGUCUACCUGUCCUAGAAAAGUAUAGUAUAUCAUAAUACGUUUUUAAGAUGUAAAAAAAAUGCAUACAGAUACGUUUUUGGUGUAAAUGGAUAUUUUUAUUAGAAAAGCUAUUGAUUUUAUUUUGAACGCAACGGCAGGCGUAUCGCGCAUGCGUGCUAUACUAGCAUACAUUAAUAAGACAUCCUAUGUUCAGAUUAUCACUAUAUAUCUUGAAACUUACUCGUGAAA
This is an RNA transcript of Papaver somniferum (opium poppy), 827 nucleotides long. RefSeq lists it as uncharacterized. The transcript is spliced from 4 exons. Lineage: Eukaryota; Viridiplantae; Streptophyta; Magnoliopsida; Ranunculales; Papaveraceae. The record is from RefSeq and is a predicted model, not a curated record.